Molecule: long non-coding RNA, 870 nt
Filed under: Olea europaea subsp. europaea
Lineage: Eukaryota; Viridiplantae; Streptophyta; Magnoliopsida; Lamiales; Oleaceae
Source: RNAcentral
GUUUUUUAAAAUUCUUUUGUUACUUUCCUUGAUGUUGCAAGUAUAUAUGGAAUCCCAAGUGGAAAUGGGACCCCUAUGAAAGCACUUCACGCCCUUUUAUGCCCCAUAGUUUGCUCUUUACUCGACCAAUGCAAUUCAAGACCCCACUUUAAACACCCUAUAAGAACUCCCUUCACGAAUCACAACUUCAUCUUCCCAUUCCAUCAUCAUCUUCACAAAAAAAAUAAGAAACCCACAAAAAGGAGAGGGAAAAAAAAAUUCUCUCAAGAAAAAAGAAAAAUUCCUUAAUUUCAUCAAAAGAAUCAUCAGACAAUAUGAAGAUGAUGAGUGGCAGCAAUUUAGGAAGCUCAAAGAGAAGAAUAGCAAGUAGAGGACUUGGUGGGGCACUUAGAGAACAAAGAGCUAAGCUUUACAUUAUAAGAAGAUGUGUGGUUAUGCUUCUUUGUUGGCAUGAUUGAGUUCGACCGAUCCUUUGGCCAUGGUUCGAUUCGAGGCACUGAAUGAGUACGAAAAAUUUCAACUCACCACCGGAGUCUGGACUAGGCAUCUAGUUGGUUUUUUUUUCUCUCUUCUUAUUAGAAAAUGUGUAGUUUGCUUCUACGGCCUUCGUUCGAUCAUGGCUCAAUUCGAGACAUUGGAUGAGGACAAACAAUUUCAACUCAGUACCAGCCUAGGCAGGGAGUUGGCUUUUUUCCUCUCUUGUUAGAUUGUGUAUAUAUUAGCGCCGCCUGAUGUUAUAUUUUUUUGAGUUGUAACAAUUUUGUACUAAUUAAUGGCCUUACAAGGCUUGAUAGCUUGAACUGAAACAUUUAAUUUGAUUCAUUUCUUCUUUUUAUAAAAUCUUUUUUCUAUUCAAUUUCUUUUCAAUUC